AAAAAAAAUUGUACAAUAUUGGCUGGCAACAGAUGGAAAAAGAUAAUUCUCUUUCUUAUUCAC
RNAcentral lists this transfer RNA (63 nucleotides) under Cleridae sp. 1 ACP-2013. RNAcentral describes it as "tRNA-Ala". Lineage: Eukaryota; Metazoa; Arthropoda; Insecta; Coleoptera; Cleridae. The record is from RNAcentral.